GAUGAACGCUGGCGGCGUGCCUAAUACAUGCAAGUCGAGCGGUAAGGCCUCUUCGGAGGUACACGAGCGGCGGACGGCUGAGUAACACGUAGGAACAUACCCCAAAGUGAGGGAUAACUGCUCGAAAGAGUAGCUAAUACCGCAUGUGGUCUUCGGAUUAAAGCUUCGGCGCUUUGGGAAUGGCCUGCGUCUGAUUAGCUAGAUGGUGAGGUAAUGGCUCACCAUGGCGACGAUCAGUAGCUGGUCUGAGAGGAUGAUCAGCCAGACUGGGACUGAGACACGGCCCAGACUCCUACGGGAGGCAGUAGUAGGGAAUUUUCCACAAUGGGCGAAAGCCUGAUGGAGCAACGCCGCGUGCAGGAUGAAUGCCUUCGGGUUGUAAACUGCUUUUAUAUGUGACGAAUAUGACGGUAGCAUAUGAAUAAGGAUCGGCUAACUCCGUGCCAGCAGCCGCAGUAA
This 459-nucleotide ribosomal RNA is filed under the name uncultured bacterium. RNAcentral describes it as "partial 16S ribosomal RNA". It matches the Rfam family "Bacterial small subunit ribosomal RNA", at positions 28 to 523 of the family's 1533-position model. The record is from RNAcentral.